GGAUUUGGUUUUGUGUUCAUAUUUUUAGUGUUUUGGGUUGGGUUGUUUUGGAAUGCGUUUGAGCUGUUUUUAUGUCCAGUUUUCUUUUGAUAGUAUUUAAUUUUAAAAAGAUUAGUAAAAUGUUUUUGAACAUAACUGUUUAAUUUUGAAGCAAUUGUUUUAAAAUUAAAUAAGUUUAAAAAAAUUUAAUAUAAUUUAAAAUUUUAAGGUUUUUUACUUCUCUCUGUUAAUUUGUCCAAAACAGUAACAGUGAUUUAAAGAAGGUUUUAAUUACCAUAAAUGUUACCGUUGCAUUAUUCGUAAUCUGAACCUGCUUUUAUGUUAUUUGGACAUCAUGCUUUGGAUUUUUCUGUUUAGUUUUAAAGAAUUUUUUAUCCGGUACAGAUUUUUAACUGGCCUGCUGUAGUUAAUUUUCUUUCUUAUUCUGCUCCGAGUGCCUGAAUAGCUUCUUCAGUAGUUGCUUUUUUUUGUCUGGAUAAUAGUUAGAUAGAAGUAUAAUUUGUUCCGAGCUUUCUUAUUGCCCGCAAUAGGACGACAUUUUCCGGAAAUUAAUUAACUAUCCGUAAAA
RNAcentral lists this long non-coding RNA (568 nucleotides) under Gossypium raimondii (Peruvian cotton). Its description in RNAcentral is "long non-coding RNA (GRAI_LNC011279)". The record is from RNAcentral. Lineage: Eukaryota; Viridiplantae; Streptophyta; Magnoliopsida; Malvales; Malvaceae.